UACGGAGGGUGCAAGCGUUAUCCGGAUUUACUGGGCAUAAAGGGCGCGUAGGCGGUCGUGCACGUCGAGGGUGAAAUCCCCGGGCUUAACCCGGGAACUGCCUUCGAUACGGCGCGACUGGAGUGCGGGAGGGGAGAGUGGAACUCCUGGUGGAGCGGUGAAAUGCGUAGAUAUCAGGAGGAACGCCGGUGGCGAAAGCGACUCUCUGGUCCGCAACUGACGCUGAGGCGCGAAAGCCAGGGGAGCAAACGGG
This 253-nucleotide ribosomal RNA is filed under the name uncultured bacterium. RNAcentral describes it as "partial 16S ribosomal RNA". It matches the Rfam family "Bacterial small subunit ribosomal RNA", at positions 524 to 776 of the family's 1533-position model. The record is from RNAcentral.